RNAcentral lists this long non-coding RNA (2330 nucleotides) under Homo sapiens (human). RNAcentral describes it as "HSALNT0174746". The record is from RNAcentral. Lineage: Eukaryota; Metazoa; Chordata; Mammalia; Primates; Hominidae.
GGGACUUUCUGAGGACAAGUGGAGGGGGCAGAAGCACGCCUUGCUUAGGGCUGUGGAAUCCAGCUUAACGACGUGACCUUGGGUGUCAGAAAGGCUGACCACCCUGGGCACCAGGGAAUCGCCUUUCAGUGAGACAUUUAGAAAUAGAUCAUUUGAGGGGGCUGGCCUCAGCACAUGCCGAUUCUCUUUCUUGGAGAGCAGGGACAAGACUUGGCAUUUCCUGGAGCCCUCUGAACUCCGGAUUCUGAAAUUUUGCCAAGGUGCCAAGGCUUGCUGCUGGGGGCCUUUAUUAGUGGUGCUGCUGACAUGUAACCAUUUGUUCUGAACUUUAAAUAGUCACCACAUAACCAUUUUCCAUGAGAAUCACUUGGCUCUUACCUCAUGAGUGAGUGUGGCUUUAUGUUCUGAACCUUGGUGUUUUCAAUGCUUCACAAUGUGUGGCUCUGCCCAGAAAUGUACACCUUGGGUACUUUUCUGACUGGCUCUUCAGGGAUCGUUUGGAAAGUGGUAGCUGACAUUUCACAAGAAGAGAAGAUGAAGAACUGAGGCUAUGUGUCUUAACAGCAAGAGCUUUCCACUGAACUUCAAGGGACUGCUUAGUCCUGGCUCUGUCACCAGUUAGAUGCAGUGAUCUUUGACAAGUCAUAUGACUUGCCAGACCUCAGUUUCCUAAUCUGUAAAAUGCGCUAGUGUGAAGACCAAACAUAAUAAAGUAUAGGAGGAAGGUGCUUUAAAAUCUUAAAAGAUAAUACAAGGAAAAAGCCUCAGAAAAUAGAAUUAUAUACAAAAUUCCAAUUUAUCUGACCCCAUUGCUAGCCCUGAUUCCUUUGCAAAGUCUUAGCUUUAGUUGCUGACCUUAAAGUGAAUUGUCAGGGCAGAGAAACCAAGGACAUCCUGCCACCCUCAGGCCGCUUGGCUCUUAGAUUGUAGAAACUUUUCUGACCAUUCGGAACAUGCUGUGUGUCCAGCACAAAGCCCUGUCCAAUUUCAAAUUCAUCUAUGGCAGAGACGACUAGUUCUUCACCCCAAACUCAUUGCCUUUCCUUCCGGGGCACCUGUCGGCCCACAUUUCCCAGCCCACUUUGCAGUUGAGUGUGCUCAUGUGACUGAGCUACGGCCAAUGGGAUGCAAGCGGAAGUGACGUCCACCAAGUCCAGGUAAAGGCUGUUAAGGAAUGAUUACGCCCUCUCCUUCUCUUUCUCCUUCCAUCUGCCAGAUACAGAUGGCAAGGAUACAAAUGACAAGGAGAGGGGGGUUAUGGAGCCACAGCUGGAAGGAGUCUGGUCCUUGAAUCACCAUUUGGAGAAAAAACCUGCAGAUGAUCCCAUCCUGCCUGCACAGCUUCUCCAGGGGAGAUAGACACACAGAAGCCCACGAGAGUCAAAUAAGAGCCAUACCUUCCAGGUCUCCAUGACACAGACAUCCUCCACCACACCUGUUAAGAAAGUCGAAAUCGUCACUGCCACCCACACUGGGGUUCUGCUUUCCUGAUUACACCUUUCUCAUCUCUAUCACCUAUGCCAGGAACCCAAACCCAAGUCUUCCCAGCUGUGUGCAGAAUCACAGUGGCCACACCAAGACAACAGUGCCCAGCAGCAGCAUAGUACACCUAAAGGUGCUGCACUCUUGAUGUGGAUGCUGAUGAAAAGGAGAGUAGAAAUAAUAACAAUAUGUUUCGACGGGGCAUGGUGGCUCAUGCCUGUAACCCCAGCACUUCGAGAGGCCAAGGCAAGAAGACCACUUGAGCCCAGGAAUUUGAGACCAGCCUGGGCCACAUAGUGAGAUCUCAUGUCUACAAAAAAUAAGCAAAAAUUAUCUGGGCAUGGUGGCAUGCACCUGUAGUCCUAGGUACUCAGGAGGCCGAGGUGAGAGGAUCACUGGAGCCUGGGAGAUUGAGGCUGCAGUGGCCCACGAUCAUGCCACUGAACUCCAGCCUGGGAGACAGAGCAAGACCCCAUCUCAAAAAAAAUGUGCCUGGGACCUUAUCUCAAAAAAACAACAAAAAACCCAAUAUGUUUUUUGUUACCUCCUUUGUGCCAGGCUCUGAAUUAAGCAUUCUAUGUGUGUUAUUUUAUCUACACUUUACAACUCCCCUACCAGACAGAUAAUAGUCUAGUCUCAUUUUAUAGAUGAAGAAACCGAGGUUCAUGGAGUUACAGCAUGACCCAUGCCACACAAUAAGUGUAUGAAAGGGCAGCAAAUUAAACCCUUGACUCUGAAGCCCAUGGUUUUAACCAUGGCUCUUUAUCCUCUCUCAUAGUUGCACACAUAUGACUAGAAAGGGACUCCAUUUUCCAGUGGAAAGUUGGCGGUCUGGGGGAGAAGUGGUA